Molecule: non-coding RNA, 91 nt
Filed under: Paenibacillus sabinae
Lineage: Bacteria; Bacillati; Bacillota; Bacilli; Caryophanales; Paenibacillaceae
Description: c-di-GMP sequence
Rfam family: c-di-GMP-I riboswitch aptamer
About the family: GEMM was predicted in a large-scale screen for bacterial structured RNA regulatory elements. Genes associated with GEMM are involved in a diverse array of functions, including chemotaxis regulation, signal transduction, secretion and chitin.
Source: RNAcentral
AAUAAGAAACGGCAAAUCCGUACGAAAGUCGGAGACGCAAAGCCACGGGUCUAAGCAAGGUCACUCCUUGUAUGACAGCCGGGUUGCCUAU